This 659-nucleotide long non-coding RNA is filed under the name Salmo salar (Atlantic salmon). RNAcentral describes it as "lncRNA (ENSSSAG00000108270.1)". The record is from RNAcentral. Lineage: Eukaryota; Metazoa; Chordata; Actinopteri; Salmoniformes; Salmonidae.
GAGGUCUGUAUUGUAUCUAGUGAUGGAGGUCUGUAUUGUAUCUAGUGAUGGAGGUCUGUAUUGAUGGAGGUCUGUAUUGUAUCUAGUGAUGGAGGUCUGUAUUGUAUCUAGUGAUGGAGGUCUGUAUUGUAUCUAGUGAUGGAGGUCUGUAGUGAUGGAGGUCUGUAUUGUAUCUAGUGAUGGAGGUCUGUAUUGUACCUAGUGAUGGAGGUCUGUAGUGAUGGAGGUCUGUAGUGAUGGAGGUCUGUAUUGUAUCUAGUGAUGGAGGUCUGUAGUGAUGGAGGUCUGUAUUGUAUCUAGUGAUGGAGGUCUGUAUUGUAUCUAGUGAUGGAGGUCUGUAUUGUAUCUAGUGAUGGAGGUCUGUAGUGAUGUUGGCUUUCAGUCGUAUGUCCUUGAAUGAUUCUAACCAUAAUAAUGAUGAUAAAUUCUGUUAUAAGUUAUUUUACCGUCCUGUUAAAACAUAUAUUAGCAGGUAGCAGUGGCGUUGUUGAAUGUAAAUCCCUGCUAUAUUAGCAGGUAGCAGUGGCGUUGUUGAAUGUAAAUCCCUGCUAUAUUAGCAGGUAGCAGUGGCGUUGCUGAAUGUAAAUCCCUGCUAUAUUAGCAGGUAGCAGUGAUGUUGUUGAAUGUAAAUCCCUGCUAUAUUAGCAGGUAGCAGUGGC